RNAcentral lists this ribosomal RNA (463 nucleotides) under uncultured bacterium. RNAcentral's name for it is "partial 16S ribosomal RNA". It matches the Rfam family "Bacterial small subunit ribosomal RNA", at positions 30 to 507 of the family's 1533-position model. The record is from RNAcentral.
CGAACGCUGGCGGCGUGCUUAACACAUGCAAGUCGACCGGAAAGGCCCCUUUGGGGGUCCUCGAGUGGCGAACGGGUGAGUAACACGUGAGUAACCUGCCCUUGACUUCGGGAUAACUUCAGGAAACUGGGGCUAAUACCGGAUAGGAAUCCUUGCUGCAUGGUGGGGGUUGGAAAGCUUCGGCGGUUUUGGAUGGACUCGCGGCUUAUCAGCUUGUUGGUGGGGUAGUGGCUUACCAAGGCUUUGACGGGUAGCCGGCCUGAGAGGGCGACCGGCCACAUUGGGACUGAGAUACGGCCCAGACUCCUACGGGAGGCAGCAGUGGGGAAUAUUGCACAAUGGGCGGAAGCCUGAUGCAGCAACGCCGCGUGCGGGAUGACGGCCUUCGGGUUGUAAACCGCUUUCAGCAGGGGCGAAGCUUGUGGUGACGGUACCUGCAGAAGAAGCACCGGCUAACUACGUG